Molecule: long non-coding RNA, 363 nt
Organism: Musca vetustissima
Lineage: Eukaryota; Metazoa; Arthropoda; Insecta; Diptera; Muscidae
Exons: 2
Source: RefSeq, a predicted model, not a curated record
GCAUGCGCCAUCCAAGAAUGCUUACAAAAUGAGGUUCCUCGCUUCAUUUCGAGCGCACAGUGGCCACCAAAAUCUCCGGAUACCAAUCCGUUGGACUAUUGUGUCUGGAGUAUUUUGGAAAGCAAGGUUGGCACUAAAAAUACCAAAGUGUCGGUCACCUCAAGCAAACGCUUCGCCGGGAAUGGGCCAAAAUACCGUAGAGCAGCAUUCGGGCAGCGUGUAACGGUUUCAUUCGCAUUUUGAAGGCCAUAAUUCGUGCCAAAGGUGACCAAUUCGAAUAAAUCUAAACUUAUUCUAAAAUUUGAUGCUAUUUCCGAAAUUUUUUGCUUUCAUUCAAUAAAAUUAAAAAAAAAAUGUAAAAAA